Molecule: ribosomal RNA, 274 nt
Filed under: uncultured bacterium
Lineage: Bacteria
Description: partial 16S ribosomal RNA
Rfam family: Bacterial small subunit ribosomal RNA
Source: RNAcentral
UACAGAGGGUGCAAGCGUUGUCCGGAAUCAUUGGGCGUAAAGAGCUCGUAGGCGGCUCAGUAAGUCGGGUGUGAAACCCCCAGGCUCAACCUGGGGACGCCACCCGAUACUGCUGUGGCUAGAGUCCAGUAGGGGAGUGUGGAAUUCCCGGUGUAGCGGUGAAAUGCGCAGAUAUCGGGAGGAACACCAGCGGCGAAGGCGGCACUCUGGGCUGGAACUGACGCUGAGGAGCGAAAGCGUGGGUAGCAAACAGGAUUAGAUACCCCCGUAGUCC